GGGCCCGCACAAGCGGUGGAACAUGUGGUUUAAUUCGACGCAACGCGAAGAACCUUACCUGGGUUUGACAUCCCCGGCCGACACCAGAGAUGGUGUUUUCUCUUCGGAGACCGGGUGACAGGUGCUGCAUGGCUGUCGUCAGCUCGUGUCGUGAGAUGUUGGGUUAAGUCCCGCAACGAGCGCAACCCUUGCCCUCAGUUGCCAGCAGUUCGGCUGGGCACUCUGGGGGGACUGCCGGUGACAAGCCGGAGGAAGGUGGGGAUGACGUCAAGUCCUCAUGGCCCUUACGUGUUGGGCUACACACGUGCUACAAUGGUAUCUACAACAGGAAGCAAAACAGCGAUGUUAAGCAAAUCCUUAAAAGAUACCUCAGUUCGGAUUGCACUCUGCAACUCGAGUGCAUG
This 404-nucleotide ribosomal RNA is filed under the name uncultured bacterium. RNAcentral's name for it is "bacterial SSU rRNA". It matches the Rfam family "Bacterial small subunit ribosomal RNA", at positions 917 to 1322 of the family's 1533-position model. The record is from RNAcentral.